GACACUGGCGGUUGGUGCUCCUGGCUCCCAGGACGGGGUUCAAGUCCCUGCGGUGCC
Anolis carolinensis (green anole) is the source of this 57-nucleotide non-coding RNA. NCBI's taxonomy places the organism in Eukaryota, Metazoa, Chordata, Lepidosauria, Squamata, Anolidae. The record is from Rfam.